GGGACACCACCACAGAGUGGCUUGAUGACUAGUGUAGGUCUGCGCCCAGGAUCUGAACCCGCAAACCUGGGCCGCCUAAAUGGAGUGUGCUGAAAUCCCGCCUAAACGGAGUGUGCUGAAAUCAACCGCUACGCCACCCGGCCAGCCCCUCAAGGGAGAAGCGAGACCUGCAGGAUCUUGGUGGGUGAAGGAAGAGCAGACUGGCUCAGUGGAUCACCCUUCACAUGUAACUCGACUCUGCCUUAACGUAGAGGUUUCCAGGUGACUGUGUUGCUGCUAUUGCAGGGAUCACACCUUCAGGACAACUGGUGGUAUAUUGAUAAACCAGACCUCUGGGCAGGUGGACCUCAUCCAAUCAGUCCGAAGGCUUGAAAAGAAUAAAAGGAUGACCUUUCCUGAGCAAGAGAGAAUUCUCCAGCAGGCUGCCUUCAGACUUCAUCUGCAACCUCAGCUCUUCCUGGUUCUACAGCAGACUGCCUUUGAAUUCAAACUGCAACUCUUCCUUGAGUCUGCAGCCUGCCAGACUCCCCCAUCAGAUUUUGGACUGGCCAAGC
This is a long non-coding RNA of Diceros bicornis minor, 554 nucleotides long. RefSeq lists it as uncharacterized. The record is from RefSeq and is a predicted model, not a curated record. The transcript has 4 exons. NCBI's taxonomy places the organism in Eukaryota, Metazoa, Chordata, Mammalia, Perissodactyla, Rhinocerotidae.